AUUGAACGCUGGCGGCAUGCCUUACACAUGCAAGUCGAACGGUAACAGGUCUUCGGAUGCUGACGAGUGGCGAACGGGUGAGUAAUACAUCGGAACGUGCCUAGUAGUGGGGGAUAACUACUCGAAAGAGUGGCUAAUACCGCAUGAGAUCUACGGAUGAAAGCAGGGGAUCGCAAGACCUUGUGCUACUAGAGCGGCCGAUGGCUGAUUAGGUAGUUGGUGGGAUAAAAGCUUACCAAGCCGACGAUCUGUAGCUGGUCUGAGAGGACGAUCAGCCACACUGGGACUGAGACACGGCCCAGACUCCUACGGGAGGCAGCAGUGGGGAAUUUUGGACAAUGGGCGAAAGCCUGAUUCAGCAAUGCCGCGUGCAGGAUGAAGGCCUUCGGGUUGUAAACUGCUUUUGUACGGAACGAAAAGCCCUGGGUUAAUACCCUGGGGUCAUGACGGUACCGUAAGAAUAAGCACCGGCUAACUACGUGCCAGCCGCCGCAGUAA
Molecule: ribosomal RNA, 498 nt
Filed under: uncultured bacterium
Lineage: Bacteria
Description: partial 16S ribosomal RNA
Rfam family: Bacterial small subunit ribosomal RNA
Source: RNAcentral